Long non-coding RNA from Tyto alba (common barn owl), 1886 nucleotides. RefSeq lists it as uncharacterized. Lineage: Eukaryota; Metazoa; Chordata; Aves; Strigiformes; Tytonidae. The record is from RefSeq and is a predicted model, not a curated record. The transcript is spliced from 4 exons.
GAAAUGCCCGUGGGAGCGCAGCUAGCCACGUCGGAGAACACACGCGGUAAGGAAAACCAGCUCCUGGGCCCCCAGGCCAGCACCCCCUCUGAAUUCCAGGGGAGCUCUGGAAGGGUCAUCUCUACUAAAUCUGCAGAGAUAGGUUUGACUGCUGCUUGCCCGUUUCCUGCUCUCUCAGCCUUCCUCCUGUGAGCCGUAGCCAGGGCUCUGGCAGCCGGAGCCCCUUCGGGGGAACCCCUGCUCUGGGGCUGUGCUCCCGGCCGCCGGGGGGGCUGUCGGUGCUUCCUGGUGGUGGCACGGAGCUGGGUCAGGGAGCUGUAGGGGCCGAGCGUGGGGUAGAAGCUGGAGCCGAUGUUGGGUGGGUGGUGGUGGCCGUGGAGUGGGGGGGAAGCUGGCCGAGACCUGGAGGGCAGGGUCCCAGUGCCGGUACUGGCCCUGGAAGCGGGGGCUGCCGUACCAGCCGUAGUACAGGACGCGCAGGUUGUAGGAGGGGCCGUCUGCUGCCCCCCGCCACGGGGGGCCGGUCGGUCGGGACCCACGAGGCUCCUCGCCAGACCGUCCCGUGGCUCAGCCCAGGCACGGCCCCGGCGGGGAGCGGGCAGAGACGCCUGGGGAUGGGGAAGGACAGGGGCUGCCGUUCACCCGGGGUUCGCUUGAAACGAGCAGUGGGUGAAGGACUAAACCGAUGGGAGGAAAGGAAAACACGCUCCAGCAAACACCGAAGCGUGACUAUCGGAGCUGUUAGAGGAAACAACAUUUUAAUUGGGUGAAUCUGUUAUGCGCAAAUGUUACAGGCGAUAAAACUCUGCUAAAUGGAAACCCAGUAAUGAGAUGGAACCUGUCAAGGGAACAAAUUGCCUGCAAAUCGGAAGCAGGCUUCUGAGGCGCCCCAGCAGCUUUGGGGCUUCCAUUAUUUCGCUUGGCUGAAGCUCGUGCCACCCCACAGCGCUGGAGCCUUCUGGCAGCAUUUCCUCACGACAGCCACCCAUGCAGAGUCGUGGUCUGCAGGAGGAGUGUGGGAGUGUUGUGCCCGGAGCUGAAGGCGGCACGAGGGUUCACGCCGGGCUGGGGCACCUGGGACAGGCGUGUGGCUUCCAGCCGUGCGUAAGCAGCGAGAGGACGAACUUCCCGAGGAACGGCCGCUCCGCACGGCAUUCCCAGCCGCUGCUGCGGCGCUCGCCGCCCCGGCCAAGGCCACUGGUGCGACCAGGGACGGAGACAGACGGACAGGCCCGUGCCCAGCGCGCGCGGACAGGACGGCAGCGGGUCAGGCGGCCGGCGGGGAGGGUUAUUUUCACUGUGGUUUCAAAACUAUCCUUCUGUCUCCACUUACAGCAGGCUCAUCCCGUGGUUUGGUGGCCCUGGGGAGUCGGGCGGGGGACUGAGCGCUGGCCGUGAGUGACAGAGGUGACCGGACAACCCGGGUGUGUUCCUCCUCCUCCGCUUAGGGAGGCUGGCCCCUGGCCCCGCUGCUCCAGGAGAUGAGGGCCGGUGUGCUGUGGGGCCGGGGCCCCGGCACCGCCCUGGCUGCACCGCAGCCCGUCUCCGGGCUCAGCGGCCCUGCCCUGGCCAUCACCUGUACCUGGUAGGAAUAAAUCCAAUAGCCUCAAAUUAAAAGGCUGCUCUGCUUCCUUCACCCCAGCAAUGGCUUUCAGUCUUCCAGUCUUGCCAAAGAAAAAUUUAUGAGAUCGUUUCCCCAAAACAACAUGAUACUUCAAAAUCGUAAUUAAAAUACCUCUGGCUGUUCUCAUAUUAAGCUUUUAUAAGUGCUUGAAAUAAUAUUUCAGAUAAAUGGAAAAGCUUUGUACUCUAUUAGCAUGACAUAGCCUUCUUCUAAUGAAACACAUCUCUUAACAUCAAAUCCUCAAUAUACAUUGAAAAUACUC